CUGCCUGCCUUCAGCAAAUGUGUUUCUGGCAGCGUACCCAGAUCAUCAUCGUAACAGUGACUCGACUACGACGAGCGCGGGUUUCCCCGUAGGUGCCGUCUCGAGGACUGCCUCGCGACGGAUUUCCAGGGGGCAGGGCAGCCAGGCACAGGUUUUGGUAUACCGUCCACCCUGGUACCUCCUCUUCCCUGGUAGCUUCUUCCACCCCAUGCUGCCUAUUUGGUGCUUGUAGAUCCGCGAAUCACGGAAGGGCGCUCCGUCCAUCGAUGUCGACCAGCAGAGAGGAGCCCAUGGGAGCUCUAUCCUUCCAGUAAUGAUGGCCGAAGAAGAGGGAACGGGCGGAGAUGACGUGCAGGGGAUAUCUCAUCUUGAAUUCUUGGAACAAUGGUGUCCGGUCGCGAUAACUCGGCGAGCAAAGAAGUUUUGGUCCAGCUCGACAAUGGGAACGGCACUGAUCCAUCUGUUUUCCAGCUCAACAAUGGCGCGUUGUCGAUGGAGCACGCGGCGGCUCUAAGCUGCUACCCCUUCAUGGAUCUUUCAUUUUUCAACUUUACAAGCUAGAACCAACAAGAGGAGUUCCUUCAGCAACUAUUUUCCAAGCUAUGGUAAUGCAAGCAAGCCAUGGAGUGCUAGUCAGGGGAUUGAUAACAAUACAGGGUAUGGUAGUGAUGCCAUGACUAGUGAGAUUAAUGCCAAGGGAGAUGACUGCUGUAAAGGGUAAACCAAAAUUUGAUCAUCCAGCAGAUAGUCUGAAUUCAUGGUUCAGCCAACUUGGGCAGCCGACAAGUACUCCAGCUUAUGAUGUCACUGUGUGUGCUCCUUAAAAUGCAUGAAACUAUUGGUUGAGGUGCAGUUACCUAUUCACAAAAACAACAAUGCCAAGCUCAUAUGUUUUGUGUUUAGGAUGUAGGUUUGCAAAGAUUACCUUUCAGCAAUAUUCUUAUACAGUGUGGUAAAGGCUCAAACAGAUCUGAAGUGUAUACUUGUUUCAAAGCAAUUGAAACUGUUGUGUGAUAAGUGACCGAGACCCAUUGUAUAAAUGAUGGUUCAUAAGACAGGUAGGCUAUAGUGUGUGUUGACUUCUAUGUAAUCUCUUACGUAUAGGUCGCAGACUGACCUCUGUUUUCAUAAUUAACCUCAUCUUCA
This is a long non-coding RNA of Panicum hallii, 1146 nucleotides long. RefSeq lists it as uncharacterized. NCBI's taxonomy places the organism in Eukaryota, Viridiplantae, Streptophyta, Magnoliopsida, Poales, Poaceae. The transcript is spliced from 3 exons. The record is from RefSeq and is a predicted model, not a curated record.